AGUCUGNAACCCGACUACAUGAAGCCGGAAUCGCUAGUAAUCGCGGAUCAGAAUGCCGCGGUGAAUACGUUCCCGGGUCUUGUACACACCGCCCGUCACACCAUGGGAGUUGGAAAUGCCCGAAGUCAGUGGCCCAACCGGAAGGGGGGAGCUGCCGAAGGCAGGUUCGAUGACUGGGGUGAAGUCGUAACAAGGUAGC
Molecule: ribosomal RNA, 199 nt
Filed under: uncultured bacterium
Lineage: Bacteria
Description: partial 16S ribosomal RNA
Rfam family: Bacterial small subunit ribosomal RNA
Source: RNAcentral